GCAUUUAGCAAAUGACAAAGGGAGUUUGUGAUGUGCCACAAAAGUUAGAAUAAUCAUUUUCAUAAAUAUGUUGAUUAUACCAUAACAAUGUCGCGGUAAAUUAUAUAGGAAGAAGCAAAAUAGCAUUAAGGGUCUUGUUCCAUGGUUUGAGCUCCUUUUCACUAUUAUCUAUCAAGUUAAUGUCAAGCAAUUGAGGAACAGGUAUACUAGAGGAGGUGUAUGAUGUUCUUGGUGGGUGCAGGACCUGGUACCCGAAACCUUAGCAACAUUAGUUAUAAACACGGUGACUCUUAUAAUGAGAAGAUAUUGCAUAUUUGGAAAUGCAAAAGGCUUCCCAACUUAUACCUAUUUUUAUGGUCAUUUAUAGCACAUUAAAUAAAUACUAUCCUAUAUCUUUCGUGCACAACUCAUUGAAUGUACACAAACUGUAUAUUCAUGGUGGUACACGCAUUCUUGCAUGUAUGUACGUGGUGUACGAUGCAAGUAUGUGCUUGAGGGUGGGUAGGCGUGUGUGGGUGUGUUUGUCUCUAUAUGAAUAGAAGAUGGAUAGAUAUGUCUGAUUGCGCAUAAUGUACUUGUGGCCAUAUGUACAUUUUGGCCAUAUUUAUAGGGUAUAAUUACUAAAAUUACUAAAUCUAACAUCAACAUAUAGUAAAUUCUAAAUAUUUUCUCUUGUGCAUCUAUAUUUGUGUACAUAUUUGAUCCUAAUAUAGUUAUUUUCAGAGGUGCAACUGGUAUAUUAUAUUAUCGCAGGAUACCUGUCAAGUUUAAAGAAAAAUUUUAUUGUACAUCCUCAUGACCAACCAUGUUUUAUAGUACAGAAUAUUGGGCAGCUAGAAAACAUUAUGUGCAUGAGACGGUUUAGCCAAAAUAAAAAUUUUGAGAUAGAUAUAUAGUAAUUUAAGAAAAGAUAGAAUAAGAAAU
This 924-nucleotide long non-coding RNA is filed under the name Phoenix dactylifera (date palm). RNAcentral's name for it is "long non-coding RNA (PDAC_LNC005946)". The record is from RNAcentral. Lineage: Eukaryota; Viridiplantae; Streptophyta; Magnoliopsida; Arecales; Arecaceae.